This is a long non-coding RNA of Rhinopithecus roxellana (golden snub-nosed monkey), 334 nucleotides long. RefSeq lists it as uncharacterized. NCBI's taxonomy places the organism in Eukaryota, Metazoa, Chordata, Mammalia, Primates, Cercopithecidae. The record is from RefSeq and is a predicted model, not a curated record. The transcript has 4 exons.
AGGCAAAUGACCUGCUGUUUAAAAGGGCACGCACGCAGACAGUGGCAACCCAGCGUCUGAACCUAUGGCUCUUUGUUCAACUUGAACAGAUUAACAAUGGAAUCUCACACUGUCACCCAGGCUGGAGAGCGCUGGCACAGUCUCGGCUCACUGCAACCUCCGUCUCCUGGGUUCAAAUGAUUCUCCUGCCUCAGCCAUGAUGCUCAAUUUCUAAUACUAAUUGCCUAUUUUACUGUCUGUUACAGCUUCAUUGUAGGAGGUGUGAAAGGGGAGGGAAAUUGUGUUGGAAGAGGAGAUUAGGACAUCAAGAGACACCAGGAGUGCCCAUGCACAG